UAUCAACCCUUAUUUGAUUAUUAUUUAUUUAUUUAUUAUUUUCCCAUUUAUAUUUAUUUUGCACACACCCAGUAUUUAUUUGUAUAUUAUUUUCGAAAAAAAAAGUAGUUCCACCCUUUUCUCGCGAGAGUCAGAGUGAGAGCAGCCAUGACGAGCAGGUGAGAAAUACCGAAGCAAGUCACUCUUUAGUAAACAAAAACCGGCGGUUGUUAACUCACUUUAGAGCACAGAAAAAGUCUGGAAACUGCACCUAACGGGAGCAGAGGGAUUGUCGAGGACCUGUGUGUUGUUGUUUUCGGCAGAGACCUGGCUAGGUUUUUUGAGCACCCUCAGAACUUACCGUAGAUAUGGAUCGGGAUUCUCCUCGUGGAAGGAGAUGGCGAGCCAGUGAUACCAAAGGAGCAGAGAACCAGCACCUGAGCCUGAGGAGGACAUCCAGCCCUUCUCCACCGUAACUGAGUGUGUCUGUGGUAGGACCACACACACACACCUGACUUUUGUGCCCCUGACUAUUUUAUUUUAUUUCCCCCUGAUUUGACUUGACUUUUGAAUAACGCGCGCUGCAGCACCAAGUACAUUAAAGGACAACUGAAGGAACAUUGAGGAACAUUAAAGGACAAUUAAAGGGACAUUACCUUUCCUAUAAGGACACUUUUUGUUGUUUUAUAUUGAAAAGAAAUACUGAAAUAUUGAAAGAUCAGUUGUAAAAAUACUGAAUUUAUUUUCUUAUUUUAUUUUUAUUUUUCCAUUCAAACUUUUUGGUUCAAUACAUUGAACUUACAUUUAAACUAC
Centropristis striata (black sea bass) is the source of this 792-nucleotide long non-coding RNA. RefSeq lists it as uncharacterized. Lineage: Eukaryota; Metazoa; Chordata; Actinopteri; Perciformes; Serranidae. The transcript has 2 exons. The record is from RefSeq and is a predicted model, not a curated record.